This is a long non-coding RNA of Populus euphratica (Euphrates poplar), 480 nucleotides long. RefSeq lists it as uncharacterized. The transcript is spliced from 2 exons. Lineage: Eukaryota; Viridiplantae; Streptophyta; Magnoliopsida; Malpighiales; Salicaceae. The record is from RefSeq and is a predicted model, not a curated record.
GAUAUAUUUAGUUUAAGAUGAUAAAUUUAUCACUCUGGUUUGUGAGCAAAAACACUUUUUUCCUUUUUUAUUUUUUUAUAAUUGCACUUUUACACCCUAAAAAGUUGGGGUAAAGUUUGAUGUUAGUAAAAUUGCAUAAAUCUAUUGUAUUCUCUCUCUGGAUUCAUUUAUCUACUAAUUGGGUUGCUGUUCUUUUAUGUACUCAGCAUGCAGCGUUGGUUCUUUAGGUAACUUCCCGAGAAUGACACUGAAUUUUGAUCUUCGUUAUACCUUUGGGUCCCUGGCCAAAUGAUGAGGCACAGCAUUUCACAAAAUGAACAGACUCCCACAAUUCAUUUCCCAUUAUGAGGUUCGUUGUCUAUGAAGAAGAGUUCUUCCUACAUUCCCAAAAAUAAGCAAAACUUUUAUAAUAAAUAAAACUAACAGACGAUUAAAUGGGAAACAACAGUAUAGUCACUUUAAAUGUGAUGUUGGUGGAGA